Molecule: RNA transcript, 3866 nt
Organism: Hemiscyllium ocellatum (epaulette shark)
Lineage: Eukaryota; Metazoa; Chordata; Chondrichthyes; Orectolobiformes; Hemiscylliidae
Gene: nkx2-1
Gene name: NK2 homeobox 1
Exons: 6
Source: RefSeq, a predicted model, not a curated record
CUUGAUAAUGCUAGCUUUAUUGAUCGAUUAUGCAUCUGUUGACAGCAAUGUAAAAUGCAGAGUCUACUUACCCAUGAUAAUUAUGACUCAAGUGAUCCUCAAAACUUCCUGCUGAAUAUGUCAGCGUUUCAAAUAGAAUUCAAAUCCCCUGAAGUACAGAAUGCUUUGGGAUCCACUUAUAAGUGCUGCUUAAUAACUGAUCUCACCUUCGAAGUUACAGAAGAACAUGUAUGGAGUAAAAAUGCUUCCCUUUUCCUCGGGAGAGGUGGUUCGGUUCUGCAUUUCAAAGCACAGCAUGGGAAAUGGAUUUUACACGCUCAGUCUGUCAAUCACCGUGGACACACCCUCGGCAAUAACGGAAGAGGCGGGAGGAUGAAAAUCCCGUUGACUCAUUGGUGGAUGACCGUGACCUGGCAAUACUACCUGGAAGUUGCUCAUAACAAAUUAUUUUCGGGUUGUCCAACGACUUGAGGCUUUCAGUGGACUGUUAAUAUGAAGGAGAUAUUACUAAAAUAUUUCAAUUAAUUGCAAAUUGUACCAAACUAAUAUUGCUAUUUAAAACGGAAUAGUUCAUUCAACCGAGUUGGCUUGUUUCCAACCCGAAGUUUCAGUUGAAAGAAACCCUGUUGGGCUCUGGCGCCACCUCCUGAUUACAGCUGGCAGCACUUGCCCCUGCUAACCCCUUCUUGACUUGGAAACACACGGCGGACAGAUGACUGACCAGGCCCCGAACUGAUGUCCUGCUACCUGCCUGACUGGUUUCACUGGGUCUGCAGGACUGUCCGUUACCCACUCCUCAGACAGUAAGGAUAUUGAUUGCCCCAAACACCACAUCCAAGCCCCUGGACAGAAAUCAGAAUUGCCCCGGAGGUGAAUCCUGAAGCAGUGGCAGGCGGCUGUGAUUCCUGGAGUCCUAGGUGCAGACCGGCUCGAUGGGAGGCAGACCUUACAUUUGCCUUGGAGCAACUGAGUGCCGGUAUGGAGCGGACUGGAGGCUCGGAGCAGAGCAGGGAUGGCUAUUGGAUUAAGGUCUGACACGGGUGGUCCUGCACUGAGCUGCUGCAAUUACAGAUGCCUGUGUGUCAUGAAUUGGAACCUAUUUCUCCAACACCAGUCUUUGAGCCAAUCGUGCCUGAAAUCUGAUUAUGUCCUGAGCUGCUGCGGGGUAUCAUUUGUUAGAAUUGAAGAGAAUAUUUUUGAUGUCUGAGAAACUGUACUCCCAGAUGUUCAUCUUCAAACAGGCUUGACAGAGAAGUCUGACAUGAAACACACAUAUUGUGGCUGCUGCCUGAAAAUCAUCCAUAAUUGUCUUGUACAAGUGUAGGCAGUUACAGACCAGCCACUGAAGUAUCCAUUCAUCUAUGUCAUUGCUAAGUGGGUUAGGUGCUGAAAUGGUCACGGUCUAAAUUAUAUCCAUCAUCCUUUAUGCUUUAGGGAAAGUAAAAAUCUGGUGCUAAGAUGUUAGCAGAAAUACAGAGGAAGUGGAUAGUCCUCAUAAACAAAAUAUUAGUCAUUUGUCAGAUGCAUCUUUGGGUACUGCAUUAUUUGGUAUUGAGAUCCCCUGCACUCACCUGGAAAACAUUUGUUCACUUUGACGUCCAUCAAAUGGCUAUCCCUUUGAAUUUGUUUACAAAACUUCUUCCAGUACACAACAUAAUUCUGUAAUUAGUUCACUGUGAAGUUUUAAAGUUGUUUUUAACCAAGCAGCUGUAAUCAACCCUAUAUGAUGGGUGGCAUAGCAUUAUUAGACUAUAUAUAUUUAGUGUCUUCUAAUAGCUAUAUCAUCCCUUUUACCAUCCUAUUCAGCAAUCUCUACUAGAUCAAAAGUCAGAGCCCUAAAUACACUGCAGUGACCCUUUGACUUACAUAAACUCUAAAACUGCAAUGAUAACUACUGAAUGCCAAGAUGCAAAAACCUCCUUCAGUUUACAUAAGGGUACAAUUAAAUGCAUUUUACUUUUAAAGCAGAAAGUUUGGAAUAAUACAGGCUUCCUCAUGACCACAAAUACUAUUUCAAUGAGGUUGAUGCAUAGUUAAGGUAAAAUCAGACACACGCAAUCUUUAAAGUAAAGUGCAAAAAUAGUGGACUAGGCAGGGGCUUACACACAACAGCAGACUCAUUGAAUUGUUGACUUUUGAUGCUUCACUUGCAUGUAUAGCUGUGCGUAAAAUGUUACACCUAUAAUUAUUUAUAAACUGACUAUUCAGACCUCUCAGUCUCUGGAUAGCGAGAGGCUGACUGUACGCUGAAAGCUAUGUGUUGAGAUCCCUUGGAGGUUCUGACGCACUGACUGUGUGGUACUAGCUGAGGAAGAUUAAACAUCUGGUGUACAAUUACCUAACAUCUGGAAUCCUAAAAACAAAUCCUGAACUUUGAGAUGGAGUGAAAGACUUUUGAGGUCUCUGAUUUACAUACUUUAAUACUUAGACCGGAACAGUGAAAGAAAGAUUAACAUUAAAGCCUGCUCGAACUCCAAGCUAAAUAUACUUACAGAGUCGCAGUCACUCACAUUGAUACUGCCCCCUCCAACACUCUCACUGAUCCCAACACUGGAUCCACGUAACUGCCACAUGUACCUCCUUGCCCACGUAUCUAACUUUCCACCUUCUUGCUACCCUAACUCCAAACCCCUUAUUUACUACUCUCUCUCAAUACCUGGACACUUUUAUACAUUUUACCCAACCCCACACUACCCUUCAACAAUUUACCUGCUUUGUUAUCUCCUCAACCUAUUACUUUCCACCCUAGCCUCUCAUCAAUCUAUCUGCCAUCCUGCCCACUUAGUUAUCAAAAUACCCCCUCAACCAUUUGCUGGUAUCCUACCUACUCAUCCACCUGAAACCCUAACCCCUUACCCACCCACUUGCCACACCAGCUCCUCAUUGAUUUAUCUUAGAAACAUUCUUACCUCAGUGGCUAUCAAACAAAAAGCUUUUGGACCUUCCAGCUAUGUUUAUUUGAAGGAAGCUUUCGCAAUAAAAAGUGGACGUUGCUAAAAAUGGCUAGAUAAUUACAACGAUAAUAAUGACGUUAACAAUAAUACUGGCUAUCCAGAUCAUCUUAUGGCAAAUAUCACAUGGAGUCACAGACAGGCCUAAUUAGCUGCCACAUUUCAUCCUCAAAUGUGCCUUGUCUACUUCAGAUUGCUAUGGAAGAGUAAGGGAUAUCAUAAAUUUGAGCAAUCAGUGAACUGUUUCACAUAACUACUAUGCAGUGAGUGGUGCCCAUCACUGACAGGAUGCUGCCUAUUACACAAAUGAGUUCUGUGUUAAAUGAACUUAAGAAUGAGUGUGAUGUGAGAUAUAUGUUCCAAAGACUGUUUGCAGCAGGCAAGUUACUGACUGUACUCAAUUAGCUCACUUUUGAAAACUUCAAAAUACAUUGUUCAACAUGAGAUAGGAUUCUGUGAUUCGACAACAUUUGCUAAGAAGUCGUGAAUAUGCUAAGAAAUAUGCUGACAACCAGGUUAAUGUUGUUAGCCAGGCUCACAGUGUGGCACAAUUGCAUGUAUUGGAAGUUACAUAAAUUAAUACAUAGGUUCUGGAUGUAAGUUUGCUCAUUGAGCUGGAAGGUUCAUUUUCAGAUGUGUUGUCACCACAAUAGAUAACAGUGAGCCUCUGGUAAAGCACUGGUGUUAGUGACCCGCUUUCUAGUUAUGUGUUUAGGUUUCCUUGGGUUGGUGAUGUCAUUUCCAGUGGUGAUGUCAUUUCCGGUCCUUUUUCUCAGAGGGAGGCAGAUGGCACAGGUCGAUGUGUUUGUUGAUAGAGCUCUGGUCGGAAUGCCAUGUUUCUAGGAAUUCUCAUGAGUGUCUCUGUUUGGCUUGUCUGAGGAUGGAGAAUUCCUAGAAACAUGGCAUUCCGACCAG